Molecule: long non-coding RNA, 552 nt
Organism: Platichthys flesus (European flounder)
Lineage: Eukaryota; Metazoa; Chordata; Actinopteri; Pleuronectiformes; Pleuronectidae
Exons: 3
Source: RefSeq, a predicted model, not a curated record
CCUCCCCUGACCUGGCAGUCACAUAUCAGGUCACUCCAGGUUCAGCCUCAGGGAGUGGUCUGCUGCCUGUCUGCAUGUUGCUGACUCGGGCCUGCUCGGUUCAACUGUGCCGCCGCCUCUGAAAAAACCUCGUGACCCCCGUGACCCCUCGGCAGUCUGGCCAAGAUCAGCCCUGAGGCAAGCAAACCAGCCCCUCCUCAGUGUCCCACCGCUGUGCACCACGAGAACGACAUGCAGCCGAGCACGGAAGGGAGACGACCAUGUCCAAGAGCCAGAGACAAGUGUUCCAGCCACAUGUGCUGGAGCCAGAUGGCAGGGCUACCUGUUUAAUGUGUUGUACAUGUGUUGUUGUUCCAGGGGCGCAGCUCCCGUCACCGGUUACAGGCAGGGGUUACAAAAUAAAUCAGCUCCCGCAAUUACAUGUGUGUGUUUGUGUGUGUGUAAAACAUAUUUUACACUUUGUAAACCUAAGUUGGUAAAUAUCUGAUGUGGAAGGAUAUAUGAGAAACAAUCAAAUAUAAAUUAGGUUUUAAAAAUGAAAUUAAAGGGUCU